Dioscorea cayenensis subsp. rotundata (Guinea yam) is the source of this 108-nucleotide small nucleolar RNA. NCBI's taxonomy places the organism in Eukaryota, Viridiplantae, Streptophyta, Magnoliopsida, Dioscoreales, Dioscoreaceae. The record is from RefSeq and is a predicted model, not a curated record.
AACCCAUGUUGAGGACAUUUCCGCAGGAGCUCCUUGAACCUAUCCCAUGUCUCAAAAAAGAGUCUCCAAUAUCGUUUGCACAAAAGAAGAAAUUUCAUUCCCAAGCUU